This 416-nucleotide ribosomal RNA is filed under the name uncultured Nocardioides sp. Its description in RNAcentral is "bacterial SSU rRNA". It matches the Rfam family "Bacterial small subunit ribosomal RNA", at positions 355 to 774 of the family's 1533-position model. RNAcentral also lists the same sequence under 1 other name. Lineage: Bacteria; Bacillati; Actinomycetota; Actinomycetes; Propionibacteriales; Nocardioidaceae. The record is from RNAcentral.
UGGGGAAUAUUGGACAAUGGGCGGAAGCCUGAUCCAGCAACGCCGCGUGAGGGAUGACGGCCUUCGGGUUGUAAACCUCUUUCAGCGGGGACGAAGCGCCGAUGAUGGUGGUGACGGUACCCGCAGAAGAAGCACCGGCCAACUACGUGCCAGCAGCCGCGGUAAUACGUAGGGUGCGAGCGUUGUCCGGAAUUAUUGGGCGUAAAGGGCUCGUAGGCGGUUUGUCGCGUCGGGAGUGAAAACACCGGGCUUAACUCGGUGCUUGCUUUCGAUACGGGCAGACUAGAGGCAUGCAGGGGAGAACGGAAUUCCUGGUGUAGCGGUGAAAUGCGCAGAUAUCAGGAGGAACACCGGUGGCGAAGGCGGUUCUCUGGGCAUGUCCUGACGCUGAGGAGCGAAAGUGUGGGGAGCGAACA